AUACGGAGGGUGCAAGCGUUACUCGGAAUCACUGGGCGUAAAGGACGCGUAGGCGGGUUGGUAAGUCAGGUGUGAAAUCCUACAGCUUAACUGUAGAACUGCACUUGAAACUACCAACCUCGAGUAUGGGAGGGGGAGAUGGAAUUAGUGGUGUAGGGGUAAAAUCCGUAGAUAUCACUAGGAAUACCGAAAGCGAAGGCGAUCUCCUGGAACAUAACUGACGCUAAGGCGUGAAAGCGUGGGGAGCAAACAGGAUUAGAUACCCCAGUAGUCC
RNAcentral lists this ribosomal RNA (274 nucleotides) under uncultured bacterium. RNAcentral's name for it is "partial 16S ribosomal RNA". It matches the Rfam family "Bacterial small subunit ribosomal RNA", at positions 523 to 796 of the family's 1533-position model. The record is from RNAcentral.